UAAAUUUGCGCCUCGGUAAAUAAUUUACCAUACAUAAUAAUCAUUUAAAUAAUAUUAGCAUG
This 62-nucleotide non-coding RNA is filed under the name unclassified sequences. RNAcentral describes it as "S15-Flavobacteria ribosomal protein leader". It matches the Rfam family "S15-Flavobacteria ribosomal protein leader". The record is from RNAcentral.